Molecule: non-coding RNA, 605 nt
Organism: Carica papaya (papaya)
Lineage: Eukaryota; Viridiplantae; Streptophyta; Magnoliopsida; Brassicales; Caricaceae
Source: RefSeq, a predicted model, not a curated record
ACUCGAGGUGUGAAUGCUAUCAGAUUUACCCCCGAUGGUCGUUGGGUUGUAUCUGGUGGUGAGGACAAUCUUGUGAAGGUAUGGGAUUUGACUGCUGGAAAGCUGUUGCAUGAUUUCAAGAGUCAUGAAGGCCAGAUUCAGUGCAUAGAUUUUCAUCCUCAUGAAUUCCUGCUUGCAACAGGUUCAGCUGAUAGGACUGUAAAAUAUUGGGACCUUGAAACAUUUGAGCUCAUUGGUACAGCCGGUCCUGAGACCACCGGAGUCCGUUGUUUGACCUUUAAUCCUGAUGGGAGAACACUUCUUUGUGGAUUGCACGAGAGUCUAAAGGUUUUCUCAUGGGAGCCAAUAAGAUGCCAUGACGCAGUUGAUGUGGGAUGGUCUAGAUUGUCAGAUCUUAAUGUUCAUGAAGGAAAGCUGCUUGGUUGCUCAUUUAAUCACAAUUGUGUAUGAGUAUGGGUUGUAGAUAUCUCGCGCAUAGAGCCAUAUGCAGUUGGUAGUAAUACCCAGUUCACUGGUCAUACUGAAUCCAAGUCUGGAUCAAGUGGAAACCCACCAGUCUUGAGAGAAAACAAUUCAGAGACUAGUUUGGGGAAGGUGAUCUACUU